Molecule: ribosomal RNA, 254 nt
Filed under: uncultured bacterium
Lineage: Bacteria
Description: partial 16S ribosomal RNA
Rfam family: Bacterial small subunit ribosomal RNA
Source: RNAcentral
UACGGAGGAGGCAAGCGUUAUCCGGAUUUAUUGGGCGUAAAGCGUCCGCAGGUGGUUACACAAGUCUGCUGUCAAAGCGCGGAGCUUAACUCCGUAAAGGCAGUGGAAACUGUGUGACUUGAGUGUGAUAGGGGCAGAGGGAAUUCCCAGUGUAGCGGUGAAAUGCGUAGAGAUUGGGAAGAACACCGGUGGCGAAAGCGCUCUGCUGGGUCACUUACUGACACUGAGGGACGAAAGCUAGGGGAGCGAAAGGG